GGAGCCCUGCCCAGUGACAGAGUUCAACGGCUACGGUACCCUGACCGUACGAAGGUAGCAUAAUCACUUGUUCCUUAAAUGGGGACUUGUAUCAACGGCAUCACGAGGGCUGCACUGUCUCCUUUCUUCAAUCAGUGAAACUGAUCCCCCCGUGAAGAAGCGGGGAUAAAAUUAUAAGACGAGAAGACCCCAUGGAGCUUUAAAUAAUACAGCCACACUAUAUCAAAAUAUCCUCUUACUAAAAGUCCUGACUGUAAAUUUUAGGUUGGGGAGACCGCGGAGAACAACUAAACCUCCACGACAGACGGCCUAAGCCCUUAUCCACGAAUAACACUUCUAAGAAUCAGUACUCUGAUGUUAUUGACCCGAUAUUAUUCGACUGACGAACCAAGUUACCCUGGGGAUAACAGCGCAAUCUACUUUGAGAGCCCAUAUCGACAAGUGGGUUUACGACCUCGAUGUUGGAUCAGGGUAUCCUUGUGGUGCAGCAGCUACUAAAGGUUCGUUUGUUCAACGAUUAAAACCUUACGUGAUCUGAUUCCAGACCGGAUGUGUUUGUAAACAAGGCGAAAAGAGACCCCAGAGGAACCGCCCCGCAGGAUAUAAUAUUUCCCUUCCC
Molecule: ribosomal RNA, 619 nt
Filed under: Amnirana parva (lesser white-lipped frog)
Lineage: Eukaryota; Metazoa; Chordata; Amphibia; Anura; Ranidae
Description: partial large subunit ribosomal RNA
Rfam family: Bacterial large subunit ribosomal RNA
Source: RNAcentral